Molecule: ribosomal RNA, 255 nt
Filed under: Triticum aestivum (bread wheat)
Lineage: Eukaryota; Viridiplantae; Streptophyta; Magnoliopsida; Poales; Poaceae
Description: partial small subunit ribosomal RNA
Source: RNAcentral
AUGCGUCACCUUGCUGCAAAUUUCAUGAAGAAAUUCAAAGGAAAGGUGUAUGCCAACAAUUUAUGGCUAGCAUCUCUAACUUGCAGUGUGAAGAAGCACAACUACCACUUGAGGCAGUUAUACAUGAAUCCCAAAGUGAAAGAAUACUUGGAAACACGCCACUCCAAGUUAUGGGCUAGAAGCCAAUUCAGUGAAGUGAGCAAAGUUGACUAUGUGCACAAUAAUCUAGCAGAGUCUUUCAACUCAACGAUUUGA